RNAcentral lists this long non-coding RNA (215 nucleotides) under Hordeum vulgare. RNAcentral's name for it is "long non-coding RNA (HVUL_LNC008001)". The record is from RNAcentral. Lineage: Eukaryota; Viridiplantae; Streptophyta; Magnoliopsida; Poales; Poaceae.
GGGGAAGGACCAAUGAGUAAGUCAAGGAAACAACCAAACACAUUGUGAAUGCUCUCUGUGUUACUUCAUGAAUAAAAUAUUUGACACAAAUACUUCGGUCAACAAUGCAUGCAACUCGUAACAAAACAUUUAUGAAGUACAUAUUACAAACAUGAAAACAAAUCAAAUUAUUUAGGACCUAAGACAAGUAAAACCAUAUUUUUGAAAUAAAAACA